GGACAUAAUUUAUAAAUUGGACAAAAGGAAUUGUGACUUAAAUGCAUCAAUUGUGAUCUAAUGGUAUAUCAUUGAUUUGAGUAAAAAAAAAAAUGGUACAUUAUUAAUGGUACACAAGUGAGGGACUUAACUGCUCCAUCAUCUUUGAAGCCACCUGUAUACAUUCUUGUGUUUCGUUUGUUAUAUUUUUGCAAUACAAAG
Molecule: long non-coding RNA, 201 nt
Filed under: Cicer arietinum (chickpea)
Lineage: Eukaryota; Viridiplantae; Streptophyta; Magnoliopsida; Fabales; Fabaceae
Description: long non-coding RNA (CARI_LNC003669)
Source: RNAcentral